RNAcentral lists this ribosomal RNA (471 nucleotides) under uncultured organism. Its description in RNAcentral is "partial 16S ribosomal RNA". It matches the Rfam family "Bacterial small subunit ribosomal RNA", at positions 333 to 796 of the family's 1533-position model. The record is from RNAcentral.
ACACUCCUGCGGGAGGCAGCAGUGGGGAAUUUUGGACAAUGGGCGAAAGCCUGAUCCAGCAAUGCCGCGUGUGUGAAGAAGGCCUUCGGGUUGUAAAGCACUUUUGUCCGGAAAGAAAUCCUUGGCUCUAAUACAGUCGGGGGAUGACGGUACCGGAAGAAUAAGCACCGGCUAACUACGUGCCAGCAGCCGCGGUAAUACGUAGGGUGCGAGCGUUAAUCGGAAUUACUGGGCGUAAAGCGUGCGCAGGCGGUUUGCUAAGACCGAUGUGAAAUCCCCGGGCUCAACCUGGGAACUGCAUUGGUGACUGGCAGGCUAGAGUAUGGCAGAGGGGGGUAGAAUUCCACGUGUAGCAGUGAAAUGCGUAGAGAUGUGGAGGAAUACCGAUGGCGAAGGCAGCCCCCUGGGCCAAUACUGACGCUCAUGCACGAAAGCGUGGGGAGCAAACAGGAUUAGAAACCCUUGUAGUCC